ACAGCAAUGCAUCGAUGCAGCAAAUAAAGCGAACAGAAUGUUGGGCUUCAUUAAAAGAAACUUUGUAUUCAAGAAUAAAGAUGUAAUACUCCCGCUCUACAACAGUCUAGUCAGACCCCACUUGGAAUAUGCGGUACAGUUUUGGUCUCCCCACCAUGCAAAAGAUAUUGCUAAAUUAGAAGGUGUUCAGCGUCGGGCAACGAAAAUGAUCCCUUCCUUGCGCAACAAAUCCUACGAAGAAAGGCUUUCUACCCUUAACAUGUUCUCUCUUGAGAAACGUCGCCUCCGAGGAAAACUGAUCGAAUGUUUUAAAAUACUUAAUGGUUUCACGAAUGUAGACAGAUCAACAUUGUUUAUGAUCGAUGACACAUUGCGCACGAGGAACAAUGGCGUAAAACUCAGAUGUAGACAAGUAAAUUCAGACUGCACCAAAUUUUUCUUCACCAACGUUGUAGUGCGAGAAUGGAAUAAGCUUCCACCAUCAGUGGUCCAGUGUAACACGAUUGACUCCUUCAAAAAUAAGCUCGACCGUCACUUCCUUCAACGUAAUAUCAACUAGAGUAGAAAUGCAACGUUUUGGAGUCUUCUGAUUAAUGUAAAAUCACUUAGGUUUAAGGACAGACCACCAAGUCUGGACCAUGGGGUCUGUGUGGUCUGAUUUUCUAUGUAAAUCUAUGUAAAUAUUCUAAACAUCGUUCGGGAGGCGCCGCUGCAAAGACAAAGGCAGGAACAACAUCAUCAUCACCAUCAGGACUAUGCCGCCCUACAUGUAAACAAACAGAGUGGUGUGUGGCUGGCCGCGUGGCCUGUGACACCCUCAUCCCCACCCUGGCCAGGCGCGGCGCCCCACACAGCAGAACACUUCCUGCCACGACUCCACUCAGGGCCCCACACCAGCCCCAGCCAGGCUCCACACCCUCAGCCCCACCCUGGCCAGGGCGCGGCGCCCCACACAGCAGAACACUUCCGGCCACGACUCCACUCAGGGCCCCACACCAGCCCCAGCCAGGCUCCACACCCUCAGAGAUGGCAGAAUAAAAGAAAACUGAGUAUUAGACAUCUGGUGAGCUGCAGGAAGGGUUGGGGGCGAGGCUGUGUAUAUGGCUAAAAGUGUUUGCAAGACACUCCGCCAUGCCACUGGGAUCACUAACUGUUGACCCGUGCCCCAUCAGGACGUCAUUGUCUCCAGUCGUGUGGUCCAGUGAGUCACCGCUCUACCGCACGACAGUGACCCCAAGGAAGUCCCGGU
This is a long non-coding RNA of Eriocheir sinensis (Chinese mitten crab), 1249 nucleotides long. RefSeq lists it as uncharacterized. The transcript has 3 exons. Lineage: Eukaryota; Metazoa; Arthropoda; Malacostraca; Decapoda; Varunidae. The record is from RefSeq and is a predicted model, not a curated record.